AGUCAGUGCAUCCUCCUGUUGUACAACUGGACUUAUUUGUCCAACUACUCUUCACUAUUUCCUACCUCACUUUUGUCAGAUCUGUCCUGUUCUUUGAAGAUGUAGAAUGCAUUUAUUAUUUUACCCACACGGUACGAACUAAGAUUGAAAAAGGAACAUUCUAACACCUCGUAGUAAUAUCACAGUAAGAAAAACAAGUUCAUAGUGUUUGCCCUCAGGCUUGAGCAAUGUGAUUUUUACUUUUUAUACUGGGGAGAAACACUUCCCAUAGGUCAGCGGGCAUACCUACAAAAGCACUAAACUACGAGGAAUUCCAAACUGCUGCCAAGUUACACCUCAAUAAACACUUACUGAAUUAAGACUCUGAUGUUUCUGAUGCAGAUUGACUAAUAAAUAUUUUUUAUUUCCUGCACUGCAAACCACUUUGGCAGCUCCUGAGGUUAAAAAAAAAAAAAAAAGUGCUUUGAACAGUACUUCACUAACAAGGAAAGCUGUGUUAAUGUACAAGGAAAACAAAACACAAUUCAACAAAAAUAUUUCACUUUAAUAAAAAGUAAGCCCUGGGAGCAUUGAUCAAAAUCAGUAAAUAAAUAUGAAACAGAAAUAACCUUCUGCUUUUACAUAAUUGUAUUAAAAAAAAAAAUCCAAGUGCCUUUUAUAUCAGUUUGUUUUAAACAUAUUUUAAACAAAUACAGACAGGCCAGCUGAGAUUAAAUAAGAGCUUGGCCCUGAAAAAUAAUGAGUAUUCCCAGUAACCUUUGAAGUCAAGGGCAUUCAGCCCACCAGGAAUAAGAAUUUACAUCUUGGUAUCUCAAAUAACUGAUGCCAAAUAAUCUGAAGUCAUGUAAAAGAUUCAAAACAUUAACAUUUCAUAAAUUAUCAAGUCAAUUCUAUAGAUAGACAUCCCCUUCUGAUCCAGCUGGAUAACAAGUAACAUAAUUUACUCCCUACUUGUUACCACCUGCAUCAGAAGAUUGUCACCUGCCAAGUUUUACUGGGAGGGAUCCCAGUUUUAGGACUCCAUGCAGGACACUGCAGCAGUUCUCAGCUCUGCUACACCACUCUCCUGCCCCCUCGCUCAUAGACACAAAGGUGCAUUUCUCCCACAUGCGAAUAUAGCACCAAGUUCCCUCAGGAUUUUCCUACUGCUCUUGCCCUUAUAUGCUUCAGGACAGGACACUGGCAGGUAUACCUUUCCCUGAGGAAAAGACAAAACA
Molecule: long non-coding RNA, 1217 nt
Filed under: Strigops habroptila (Kakapo)
Lineage: Eukaryota; Metazoa; Chordata; Aves; Psittaciformes; Psittacidae
Description: lncRNA (ENSSHBG00005017327.1)
Source: RNAcentral